AUAUAUAUAUAGAGAGAGAGAGAGAGAGAUAGAAAGAGAGAGAGAGAGAGAGAGAGAGAGAGUGCCGGUCGAUAGUGAGAUCCUUGUGCGAUUUCCUUCUCAUCCAAGAAGAUAGAAGAAGAGUUAAGGGCAAAGAAAGGAGUGUCUCGUCCUGGAUUAAAAGCUUUUAGUGUUCCUCGUGAUAGUGUUCGAAUUUUUUUUUUAUCAUCCGCGAGAGAAAGAACGAGAGAGAAAAAGAAAGAGAGAGAGAGAGAGAGAAAGAGAAAGAAAGAAAGAAAGAGAGUAAAAGAAUAUAGCAACGUUGUUGAAAACAACGUUGUCGAAGAAGCGAAGAGUUAGUGUCUCUCUCUAUCCGUUUCUCGUUCCAUCGGUUGUUUUUCCAACCUCUGUCGCAACGACGGCGGUCGAUCCAGAGCUCGAGGAAGCAAGUGGAAGGGAGGAGGCCGAGGCGCAGGAGGAGCAGCAGCAGCAAGAAGAGGAGGAGGAGGAGGAAGAGGAGGAAGAGGAGGAGGCGGAGGAGGCGGAGGAGGUGGUGGAGGAGGAAGAAGAGGUGAUUUCUACGUUCGAACGAGGAAGAUCGUGCUUCGUGCAUCUCCGCUGCGGAUCUCACGAUGACGGAUGGCUGUACGACGUGUGUUCUUCCCUCCUUUGAAACACGACUGACCAGCGACGGGGACGAACGGAAUCACUUCUCUGUACCUUGAUACGAUCUCGUGGGCGUGCGGGGGUGACUGGAGUGAUGGGAUGGGGCCAGAGCCCCAUGGAGUUCGGGUAGACCCGUCUCCGGCCCAGCUCCCCAGCCCCCUCCGCCAUAAAUAUCGCCACUGCUCCUGCCAACGACGCAGAGGGCCACCACGAUCGCGAUGGAGGCCUCUAGCAAUCAACAACAACAACAAAAAGAGAAGGAGUCACGUGUUCAUAGGCCUUAUGCCUUCGAUAAGAUGGAGGGGCUGGUGCGGGAGAUGCAAGACCCUCAAAACGGGGUACCCGUGCGCAGCCAAAAACAAUUUCUCACCUCGAUCCCCUCAGCGUUCAUGGGUGAGUGCCAUCGGUACCUGCGUUGUGGCAUAAACGUAAGCGGCCAUCACGGCCAGGAGAGUACAGUAGACUGCCUGCGUGUUGCAGGUUACGACCUCGUCGAGUGGCUUAUGGAUCGGCUUUCCAUCGAGGAAUCAGUAGAGGCGCUCCAUAUUGCUAAUCAACUAUGCCUGUACGGCUACUUCUUCCCGGUGAACGACUCGAAGACGCUUACCGUAAAGGAUGAUAGCUCGCUAUAUAGAUUUCAGUCACCGUAUUAUUGGCCAUGGCAACAUAGAACCCCUGACAACGUGGAAUACGCUAUUUAUUUGGCUAAACGAACAUUACGGAACAAACAACGCCACGCUCUUGAAGAUUACGAGAUCGAAGCUUUAAACAGUCUACGGAAGAACCUGCAAAAUAAAUGGGAUAUCAUACAACUACAGGCUGAAGAACAGGCUCAGGUACGAUUAGCUAAAGACCGGAAGAAGGGGGAUAAGAUAGUAAGCGAUUCACAGGAAAGAGCAUUUUGGAGAGUUUACCGGCCACCACCGGGUUGUCUUAGUAGUCUUGAAGUAGUUCCAGGACCAACACGUUUUCGUCCAGGAUUUCCACGUCCUCCACCACGUAAACGCACCGUCGCUGAGUUACAACGAGAGGUGGACUUCCUUCGAAACUGUUUAACACGCACGAGAAUAAAGGUUUCAGCUGCUAUAGAAAAUUUGAAGUCCUACUUUGAAACUUAUGUGGAAUACGAUCCAAUGUUCGUACAUCCGCAACCUUCGAAUCCUUGGAUCACCGAUGACAGUACAUUCUGGCAGUUGAAUAGUCCAGUAGUGGAAAUCCCUACGGAAAAGCGUGUAAAACGAUGGGCAUUAUCGAUGGAAGAACUCAUGUCUGAUCCAACAGGCCUGCUAGAAUUCACGAAUUACCUAAGAAAAGAAUACAGUCAUGAGAAUAUACGAUUUUGGGUGGCCGUUAAAGAUUUGAGACACAGUUAUCAAGCUCAAAUAACAGAAAAGGUCAACGAAAUUUUCAAAGAAUUCCUGGCGCCGGGUGCUCCUUGCGAGAUCAACAUCGAUGGAAAGACAAUGGAGAAGGUCCAUCAAGAAAUGAAAAAUCCCAGCAGAUUUACCUUCGAUUCAGCCGCCGAGCACGUAUAUACUCUACUUUUGAAGAAGGAUUGUUACCCCAGAUUUAUUCGCUCGGAUCAAUAUCGAAAUCUUUUAGCAGCCGGCGUACAGCCACUGCAAAAGAAAAGAUUCUUCAGCUUCGGUGGUCAAGCAAAAAAGAAAAUGGCGCCUAGCACGAGUACAACGACGAGCACGUUGCAACAACAACAACACGGUGGCAAUAUUGGAACCAGUGGUGGUGGUGGUGGUGGUGGUGGUGGUGGUGCUAGAAGAAGAGGAAGCGAUCGAAGCCUCUCAGGAUCAGCUCACGAGCUUGCUGUUUGCGGAGUACGUGAAAUAAGUUCUACGCCGAGAGUGCCGCAUUCUCAUAGCCAAUCAAAUCUCACCGAUAUUCCAUACAGGGGUGAUCUGGCGCGACUCUUAAAGAUCCCUACGAGGCCUAGUCCACAUAGUAUUCAGGAUGCUGGCGCCACGGAGGCGACAGUUCGCCCUAUGGACGACGUUUGCCCUUGGGACGCGAUCCCAGGGCCAAGUACAGAAACCGGCCAGGAUGCAGCACCGUUUGGAACGAGCCCGUGGCCUGACACGACUACGGAUCCCUGGGAAUACGGGAACGACGUAACCAAAACGUCGAUACAUUUCAUCGACGUGGCUCGUCCAUCUCGAAAGAAUUCCUCUCAGCUCGACUCCUGCAGUUCCUCUUCUGAUGUCAGUCUGGCUAUUGCGGAGGUCUCCGACAGGUUGAGAAAAUCCUGCAGCCUUCAGCACAGUUCUGUCACGACUGCCAUGAUGGAACGACAUGGUAUUGGUUCUGGAUCGGGUGGACAUACCAUCACCAGGAAUUAUUCUACUGGCUCGACUAGCAACAGAACCAAACUGUCGGAUAUAGGUCGCCCAUUGAUCAGCUCGUACAACUUACCAUCGCCUCUAGAAUCCUUCGAAUAUAGUCACGCAGCUGGCGAGAAGUUCGAGGCGAUAAUCAGCCAAGCAACGAUCGAAGAGCCAGAAACAUCAACGAUGUUAGAAACAACGCAACAAUUGGACAAAGUUGUAACGAUAGAAGAAACGAAAAAAACUACGAGAAGGUCAUCAGCGAAAGCACCAUUGAUAAGUAUCAGUGCGAUCGUCGGCGACUUGCCAAGUGAUUCCGAGGGCGUUGGAACGGUAACUGGCGACAACGUUUCUACGCCAACAAGAGAAACUAAAAUGGAAAUUGAAUUGUUGGAAGAUAAAAACGUACAAGAAAGAGAACUGGAAAGGGAACGAGAAAAGGGAAAGGAAGAAAAAGAAGAGAAAAGGGAAGAAGAAGAAAAAGAAGAAGAAGAAAAGGAAGAAGAAGAAGAAGAAGAAGAAAAAGGACAAGGAGAAGAGCCAUUGGAAAAGGACGAUGACAAAAUAACGAAGGAAGUUGGUGUCGAAACACAAAAAAAUGAGUCUAUUGAAGAUGCUCAGGUUGUUCCUGUUUGGGAGCCGGACACCCAACAGGAAGACCAAAUGGCACCAACGACCACUACUGCAACCACCAGUACUGUGCCCACUCGGGAUAAGCGUGACAAUAAUGUUAACGAAGUGUGCCCGUGGGAGGACGAGUAUAAUUUCUCGUAGAGGCGUAGAAUCGAAGACUCCGAAAUGGAAGACGAGACGCGUUAUAGUUGAAGGGAGAACUGUAAAGUGGAUACGACCUAUGUAAAAACGUAUGCGACAUUAGGUUAUUUGUAACUUGGCGUUAACGCGCUAUAAUCCUUGCAUUUUACACUUAAAACACCCAUUCGUAAAUUUCGAUUAUCAUUAUUCUCAAACUACCGCUGAUCUCGAGUGCAUGAGCUUUCGUAGGUUUUACGAUUUAACUGUUGUGUCAUUUUUAAAAACGUAUUGGUGUUGUUGGUUGAAAGUGAACAAAGAAAAAGUUUAAGAUCGAUUAAUAAAAAUUCGAUGAAGCGAUCUUCUUAAUAUGUAUACAAGAAUAUGAAAUGAAGUUUUCAAAACUUACAACUCGAUCUACGGAUAUAUAAAUACGACUGAUACAAACGAUCGUUAAUAAAUAUUUCUUUUCCUUGAUGAAUUUAAUGAUGUAAAAUACAAAGUGAUCUAUGGCCUAAAAUUUUUCUUUAUCCACCGACAUUUAUCGACUGAGAGCCAUUGCGGCCAUUUAUUAUCGCCAUUUGUUUUUUUUUUUAUUUUCCUUCUUAAUAUAAGUCGAGAUGUAUUAAUUAAUUUUCAUCUUUUUUUUUUUUUUUCUACUUAAUGUCAGUUAAUAUUAACGAAAACGCGUUGUUAUAAAUAGAGCGUAUUAGAGUACGUAUCUAGACUAUGAUAAAUGUGUUGUAGUAGUGAUGCGUAGUACAACCAUGUGUCUUUAUGUCGAAUAAAAAAAACAAAAAAAGAAAAAAAGAAAGAAAAUAAAAAGAAAAAUAUUAAGAUAUUUACUACGAUAUCGUUCGUUGAGCUUAAAAUAAGGUGAUAGAUGAUAUUUAAAAGAAAAAGAAAAAAAAAAAAAGAGGAAUAUUCGAUUUCGAUAUCGAAACUGAUUCGAUAUUCAAUAUACCUAUAGAUUUAAUUUUGAUUUUUGUCGAUCAUAAACGUGGCCUUUGGAUGCCAGUCAAUAAUGAGCCCCUUGACCGCAUGCAAAGACCAUGAAUUUUAUUAUCAAAUUUACUAAUAAUUUAUAUAAAUAAAAUGUAUAAUUUCCAAACUUUCCAACUAACUUGGUCAAAAAUAAAUCUUAAUAUUUCUUACAUUAAUUAUUAUUUCGUUCGAUCGAUCGACACAUACGAUCAUUCCUAUCUGAUUUUUCAUUUUUUGUCGUCGAAACGGAAAAAAAAAAGAACAAAAUCAAUCGACGCGACUCGAAUUUGAUCUAUCGCCUUAAAGAAAGAAAGAAAGAAAGAAAGAAUAAAACAAAAAAGGCUAACGACGUCAACGUAAACGUAUUUAAUAAUUCGUGUUAGAAAUAUUAACAAAUGUUACGCUGUUAAAAUCCUUCGAUAUAAUUAUAUAACUAAUAAUAAUCGUUUGUCCGCUGCUUAAGCGUCUAAUUAAACAUUAACGAUGCGUUAGUCCACUACUUGUUAGUUAUAAAUAUACGAUUAAA
Vespula pensylvanica (western yellowjacket) is the source of this 5241-nucleotide RNA transcript. RefSeq lists it as uncharacterized. NCBI's taxonomy places the organism in Eukaryota, Metazoa, Arthropoda, Insecta, Hymenoptera, Vespidae. The record is from RefSeq and is a predicted model, not a curated record. The transcript is spliced from 17 exons.